GAUGGAGCCUUUGGAGGAGUCAAGGACAUUUCCCCGACUACGUCCUUCUACCUCCAGAGCAAGUUAGUAUUUCUUCCGUUUUUGUUUUGUUUUUCUUUUCUUCCGACCAGUGUUACUGUUGGGACUACACAAGGGGAAUCUGCCUGUCACGCAUUUCCGUACCAAAGCUGCCCUUGGGCUUCUCAGAGAAAUCUUGGAGGCCUGAGUUCACAGCUCUGCUGGAGAUUGACAGCUGGAAUAUGAUGUUCAAAUGAGGAACAUCCUGUUAAGGUAAAAGUAGACAUAGCUACUAGAUCGAGCUGCAAAGGAGAAGAGGAGGAAGGAUUUUCAAAUUUCCUUUCCUGGAGAAAACCAUCAACUCGUGUUCAUAAUAGGACAUAAUCUGUAAGCAAGUGGCUGAAAGGUGGUCUCAAGUUCCACGUAGAGGGCCCACUGGACUGAGUGGUUUCUGUUGUGCCAAUAAGGAGGAAAAGAGAAGCUUCUUCACCUUUGAGUGCAGUCGGGUCUUCAUUCAAUGGCAGCAAUGACACAGUGGUGAAGAUGUUCGAGAUGUUACCACUGGAACUUCUCUCGCUUCACCACCCCUGACCACAGACGUUUGGGAGGAGGAAGCCUGAACAAAAGAAAAAAGAAAAAAGAAAAAAAAAUCAAAGAAAAAAGGAAGAGAAGAAAGAAAAAAGAAAGAUCAGUAGCUCGGAGCUGUGGGAAAGUGUGACCAAGGCGAGCAGUAUCCCCAGUGCAAGUUGUCAUUGAGUGAGGACCGCCACUUAGGAGAGCUAAGGGUCAAUCUGGAACUCCUGAUCUCAGACAAUUCAGUACGUUAUCAGCCUUUCUAAAUGGAGAAGAACCAACACAGUGAGCUACCCCAGUG
Balaenoptera acutorostrata (minke whale) is the source of this 871-nucleotide long non-coding RNA. RefSeq lists it as uncharacterized. The transcript has 7 exons. NCBI's taxonomy places the organism in Eukaryota, Metazoa, Chordata, Mammalia, Artiodactyla, Balaenopteridae. The record is from RefSeq and is a predicted model, not a curated record.